This 346-nucleotide ribosomal RNA is filed under the name uncultured bacterium. RNAcentral describes it as "partial 16S ribosomal RNA". It matches the Rfam family "Bacterial small subunit ribosomal RNA", at positions 338 to 681 of the family's 1533-position model. The record is from RNAcentral.
CCUACGGGCGGCAGCAGUGAGGAAUAUUGGCCAAUGGGCGAGAGCCUGAACCAGCCAAGUCGCGUGAAGGAUGAAGGAUCUAUGGUGUGUAAACUGCUUUUAUAGGGGAAUAAAGUGAGGAACGUGGUCCUUUUUGUAUGUACCAUAUGAAUAAGCAUCGGCGAACUCCGUGCCAGCAGCCGCGGUAAUACGGAGGAUGCGAGCGUUAUCCGGAUUUAUUGGGUUUCAAGGGUGCGUAGGUGGUUAAUUAAGUCAGCGGUGAAAGUUUGUGGCUCAACCAUAAAAUUGCCGUUGAAACUGGUUGCCUUGAGUAUAUUUGAGGUCGGCGGCAUGCGUGGUGUCGCGG